This 253-nucleotide ribosomal RNA is filed under the name uncultured bacterium. RNAcentral describes it as "partial 16S ribosomal RNA". It matches the Rfam family "Bacterial small subunit ribosomal RNA", at positions 524 to 776 of the family's 1533-position model. The record is from RNAcentral.
UACGUAGGGUGCAAGCGUUGUCCGGAAUUAUUGGGCGUAAAGGGCGCGUAGGCGGUUUCUUAAGUUUGGAGUGACAGUGGGUGGCUUAACUACCCAAGGCCUCUGAAAACUGGGGAACUUGAGGACCAGAGAGGGACAUAGAAUUCCGGGUGGAGUGGUGAAAUGCGUAGAUAUCCGGAGGAAUACCAAAGGCGAAGGCAGUGUCCUGGAGGGUGACUGACGCUGAGGCGCGAAAGCUAGGGGAGCAAACGGG